RNAcentral lists this ribosomal RNA (253 nucleotides) under uncultured bacterium. Its description in RNAcentral is "partial 16S ribosomal RNA". It matches the Rfam family "Bacterial small subunit ribosomal RNA", at positions 524 to 776 of the family's 1533-position model. The record is from RNAcentral.
UACGGAGGUGGCAGGCGUUACUCGGAUUGAUUGGGUGUAAAGGGCGUGUAGGUGGUGAAUUAAGUCGAGUGUGAAAUCCUUUGGCUCAACCAAGGAACUGCAUUCGAAACUGAUUUGCUUGAGCGGUGGAGAGGAAAGCGGAAUUCCCGGUGUAACAGUGAAAUGUGUAGAUAUCGGGAGGAACACCAGUGGCGAAGGCGGCUUUCUGGACAUCUGCUGACACUGAAACGCGAGAGCUAGGGGAGCAAACAGG